AUCGAACGCUGGCGGCAGGCCUAACACAUGCAAGUCGAGCGGAGCGGCGGACGGGGGAGUAAUGCCUAGGAAUCUGCCUGGUAGUGCGGGAUAACGUCCGGAAACGGGCGCUAAUACCACAUACUAUCAGAUGAGGCUAGGUCGGAUGAGCUAGUUGGUGGGGUAGAGGCCUAACAAGGCGACGAUCCGUAACUGGUCUGAGAGGAUGAUCAGUCAAACUGGAACAGAGACACGGUGCAGAGUCCUACGGGAGGAAGCAGUGGGGAAGAGUGGACAAUGGGCGAAAGCGUGAUCCAGCCAUGCCGCGUGUGUGAAGAAGGUAUUCGGAUUGUAAAGCACUUUAAGUUGUGAGGCGUUACCAACAGAAUAAGCACCGGCUAACUUCGUGCCAGUAGCCGCGGUAAUAC
RNAcentral lists this ribosomal RNA (407 nucleotides) under uncultured bacterium. RNAcentral's name for it is "partial 16S ribosomal RNA". It matches the Rfam family "Bacterial small subunit ribosomal RNA", at positions 29 to 526 of the family's 1533-position model. The record is from RNAcentral.